GGGCUCGGGGCCUAUGAGGCACAGGCGUGGGACUUUUAAUCCCGAGACAGAGGGUUCGAAUCCCUCCGAGCCCG
Haloarcula marismortui ATCC 43049 is the source of this 74-nucleotide transfer RNA. It matches the Rfam family "tRNA". From Rfam's summary of the family: Transfer RNA (tRNA) molecules are approximately 80 nucleotides in length. Their secondary structure includes four short double-helical elements and three loops (D, anti-codon, and T loops). Further hydrogen bonds mediate the characteristic L-shaped molecular structure. tRNAs have two regions of fundamental functional importance: the anti-codon, which is responsible for specific mRNA codon recognition, and the 3' end, to which the tRNAs corresponding amino acid is attached (by aminoacyl-tRNA synthetases). tRNAs cope with the degeneracy of the genetic code in two manners: having more than one tRNA (with a specific anti-codon) for a particular amino acid; and 'wobble' base-pairing, i.e. permitting non-standard base-pairing at the 3rd anti-codon position. The record is from Rfam. NCBI's taxonomy places the organism in Archaea, Methanobacteriati, Methanobacteriota, Halobacteria, Halobacteriales, Haloarculaceae.